CAAAGGGCUAACGGUGGAUACCUAGGCACGCUGAGGCGAAGAAGGACGCGGUGACCGGCGAAACGCUCCGGGGAGCUGGAAACAAGCAUCGAUCCGGAGGUGUCCGAAUGGGGCAACCCCAAGAACGGCCGUCUGAAUCUAUAGGGCGGCACGAGCCAACCGAGCAAACUGAAACAUCUUAGUAGCUCGAGGAAAAGAAAGCAAAAGCGAUUCCCUUAGUAGCGGCGAGCGAAACGGGACGAGCCUAAACCAGAGGUUUUCACCUCUGGGGUUGUGGGACGGUCAUCAGAGAAGGGAAAGAUUAGACGAAGCGAUUGAAAGUCGCACCAAAGAAGGUGAAAGUCCUGUAGUCGAAAAUCGGAACCACUCGACCGUAUCCCGAGUAGCACGGGGCACGUGAAAUCCCGUGUGAAUCAGCGAGGACCACCUCGUAAGGCUAAAUACUCCAGCGUGACCGAUAGCGAAACAGUACCGCGAGGGAAAGGUGAAAAGAACCCCGGGAGGGGAGUGAAAUAGAACAUGAAACCGUUAGCUUACAAGCAGUGGGAGGACGAUUGAACGUCUGACCGCGUGCCUGUUGAAGAAUGAGCCGGCGAGUGAUAGGUCGUGGCGGGUUAAGGCGAGAAUGCCGAAGCCAAAGCGAAAGCGAGUCCGAACAGGGCGUUAGUCACGGGUUAUCGACCCGAACCCGGGCGAUCUAACCAUGUCCAGGAUGAAGCUUGGGUAACACCAAGUGGAAGUCCGAACCGACCGAUGUUGAAAAAUCGGCGGAUGAGGUGUGGUUAGGGGUGAAAUGCCAAUCGAGCCCGGAGCUAGCUGGUUCUCCCCGAAAUGCGUUUAGGCGCAGCGAUUGCCGAAAAAGCUGUGGGGGUAAAGCACUGUUUCGGUGCGGGCUGCGAAAGCGGUACCAAAUCGAGGCAAACUCUGAAUACCACAGUGAAAGCAGUCAGUGAGACGGUGGGGGAUAAGCUUCAUCGUCAAGAGGGAAACAGCCCAGACCACCAGCUAAGGCCCCCAAGUGGCAACUAAGUGAUAAAGGAGGUGGGAGUGCCGAGACAACCAGGAGGUUUGCCUAGAAGCAGCCAUCCUCGAACGAGUGCGUAAUAGCUCACUGGUCAAGCGCUCCCGCGCCGAAAACGAACGGGGCUAAGUUGCCCGCCGAAGCUGUGGACUCUACGGAGUGGUAGGGGAGCGUUCUGUUUUGGGUGAAGCACUAGCGGCAAGCAGGUGUGGACGGAACAGAAGUGAGAAUGUCGGCUUGAGUAGCGAAAAUAUGUGUGAGAAUCACAUACCCCGAAAACCCAAGGGUUCCUCCGGCAGGCUCGUCCGCGGAGGGUUAGUCAGGACCUAAGGCGAGGCCGAAAGGCGUAGUCGAUGGACAACGGGUUAACAUUCCCGUACCGUAACGGACUGGUAGAGGGGGACGGAGUAGGCUAAGCCAGCCGGGUGAUGGUAGUCCCGGUUCAAGCGUGCGAAGGUGAUGAAGGGUGGCGAAAACACCCCGAGCUAAGCCGUGAGUACGACUGACUACGGUCGGGAAGUGGUGUAUGUCAGACUUCCAAGAAAAGCCCGAACUACUGUAAAUCCGUUAUGCCUGUACCCGAAACCGACACAGGUGGGUAGGUUGAGUAAACCUAGGGGCGCGAGGUAACUCUCUCUAAGGAACUCGGCAAAAUGGCCCCGUAACUUCGGGAGAAGGGGUGCCACCGAGAGGUGGUCGCAGUGAAGAGGCCCAGGCGACUGUUUACCAAAAACACAGGUCUCCGCGAAGUCGCAAGACGAUGUAUGGGGGCUGACGCCUGCCCAGUGCCGGAAGGUUAAGGAAGCCGGUCAGUCAAUUGAUGAAGCUGGCGACCGAAGCCCCGGUGAACGGCGGCCGUAACUAUAACGGUCCUAAGGUAGCGAAAUUCCUUGUCGGGUAAGUUCCGACCCGCACGAAAGGCGUAACGAUCUGGGCGCUGUCUCGGAGAGAGGCUCGGCGAAAUAGGAUUGUCUGUGAAGAUACGGACUUCCUGCACCUGGACAGAAAGACCCUAUGAAGCUUUACUGUAGCCUGGCAUUGGGUUCGGGCUUGAUUUGCGCAGGAUAGGUGGGAGGCUAUGAAGGUUUCCUUGUGGGGAAACCCGAGCCAUCGGUGAGAUACCACUCUAAUCAAGCUAGAAUUCUAACCUCGACCCGUCAUCCGGGAGGGGGACAGUUUCAGGUGGGCAGUUUGACUGGGGCGGUCGCCUCCUAAAAGGUAACGGAGGCGCGCAAAGGUUCCCUCAGGCUGGUUGGAAAUCAGCCGCAGAGUGCAAAGGCAGAAGGGAGCUUGACUGCGAGACGGACAAGUCGAGCAGGGUGGAAACACGGCCUUAGUGAUCCGACGGCUCUGAGUGGAAGGGCCGUCGCUCAACGGAUAAAAGUUACUCUAGGGAUAACAGGCUGAUCUCCCCCAAGAGUUCACAUCGACGGGGAGGUUUGGCACCUCGAUGUCGGCUCAUCGCAACCUGGGGCGGAAGUACGUCCCAAGGGUUCGGCUGUUCGCCGAUUAAAGCGGUACGUGAGCUGGGUUCAGAACGUCGUGAGACAGUUCGGUCCAUAUCCGGUGCAGGCGCAAGAGAAUUGAGAGGAGCCUUCCUUAGUACGAGAGGACCGGGAAGGACGCACCGCUGGUGUACCUGUUAUCGUGCCAACGGUAAACGCAGGGUAGCCAUGUGCGGAGCGGAUAACCGCUGAAAGCAUCUAAGUGGGAAGCCCACCUCAAGAUGAGUUCUCUGAUGGGGUUAACCCAGUAAGGUCACGGAAAGAACAUCCGUUAAUAGGCGUUAGGUGGAAGUGCAGUAAUGUAUGAAGCCGAGACGUACUAACAGACCGAGCACUUGACCU
RNAcentral lists this ribosomal RNA (2868 nucleotides) under Baaleninema simplex PCC 7105. Its description in RNAcentral is "bacterial LSU rRNA". It matches the Rfam family "Bacterial large subunit ribosomal RNA". The record is from RNAcentral. Lineage: Bacteria; Bacillati; Cyanobacteriota; Cyanophyceae; Oscillatoriales; Oscillatoriaceae.